RNAcentral lists this ribosomal RNA (689 nucleotides) under Platygaster demades. RNAcentral's name for it is "partial large subunit ribosomal RNA". It matches the Rfam family "Eukaryotic large subunit ribosomal RNA", at positions 560 to 881 of the family's 3401-position model. Lineage: Eukaryota; Metazoa; Arthropoda; Insecta; Hymenoptera; Platygastridae. The record is from RNAcentral.
GUCUAGCCGGGCUGAGCUUCGUGUGGUCGUAUUUCGAAGACUUCGGCUCGGUCGGCGUGCACUUCUCCCCUAGUAGAACGUCGCGACCCACUGGUGUGCGAUCAUAUGGUGUGAGACCACGUCGAAGACUGUCGCUCGUUGGCGAUUUCGGGCGUUCGCGUCCGGAAUUUGUCGCGGCGCGUUCAGAUGACAUUGAAAGGGAUCUCUUUAAAUGCCCGAUCGCAGGGCCGGUGGUAGUCGAAUAAAAAAUGGUAUUGGGCCGCCUUGAAGGCGUUUCCGUGCGUGAGACUGUUCGCGAUGCUUGGAUAUGGUACGCUUCGCGCGUCCUGUUCGACGUCCGGACUUUUUUUGCGUUGCGCGAAACCGGCUCCACUCAAUUACCUGUCAGCGACGCUAUUGCUUUGGGUAAUUUCAGGACCCGUCUUGAAACACGGACCAAGGAGUCUAACACGUACGCGAGUCAUUGGGCUCAUGUGAAACCCACAGGCGUAUUGAAAGAAAAAAUCGUUCCUCGCAUCGAUUAAGGGAUGAUGGGCACGCGUUAAAGAAGCGGCCUCGCAAUCCCGGGGCGUCUCGUGUCUCGUUUACGAGCUGAGGCGCACCUUGAGCGUACGUGUUGGGACCCGAAAGAUGGUGAACUAUGCCUGGUCAGGACGAAGUCAGGGGAAACCCUGAUGGAGGUCCGUAGC